UGUUUUCAUGCACUCACACUGAAAACUGCAUCAGGAUGAUGUUGUCAAUAACUCUGAUUGUCGUGUUGGGUUUUCUGAGUCAGGAGAUUUCUGCAAACAAGUUUCUGACUCAGGCUGACAAAUCCAAAUCUGUUAGUGUUGGAGGGACCGUGAGCAUCAGCGCCACAGGGAGUUCAGAUAUUGGUGCUGAUCUCAGUUGGUACCUUCAGAAACCUGGACAGGCUCCCAAACUCCUUAUAUACCAAGCAUCAACUCUCUUCUCAGGGACUGCGUCUCGAUUCAGAGGCAGUAGCUCUGGUUCUGACUACACUUUAACCAUCACAGGUGUUCAGACUGACGAUGCUGGAGAUUACUACUGUCUGGGCUACCAUAGUGGCAAUGUGUUCACACAGUGAUUUAGAGCCGUACAAAAACCUCCUUCAGUUUGACUGAAGUGAAACCGGCCUGCUGCAGGUGCAGAGGGUUGGUGAAGAGACUGUGCUGAGGAGAACUGGUCCAGUGAACACAACACAAGAGUCAUCAAGCAGAACCACAAUGAAUCUAAAUAAAACUGGAACAAACUCACAGACGCUCUUCCAUACACAGUUUAAACUUAUAUUAUUGUCCCUUUAUGAGUAAACUGGGGAGGUUAAACUCUUGUUCUCUUGUUGGACUAUAGCCACUGAUAUCAAAACAUGUUGAAAAGUGUUUCUACCAACAGCUGCACAAAACAAUCUAAUAUAACAGAAAAUUCCAAUUUACCAUUUUUCAUUUUAAAAAUCCAAAAUAUUUAAUUUUCUAAACAGAGCCUUUCCUUUCAAAAUAUCACAAAGUAGUAAAAAAAUACA
Non-coding RNA from Sebastes umbrosus (honeycomb rockfish), 827 nucleotides. Lineage: Eukaryota; Metazoa; Chordata; Actinopteri; Perciformes; Sebastidae. The record is from the annotation of a RefSeq genome assembly.